Molecule: ribosomal RNA, 1016 nt
Filed under: Thyreus nitidulus
Lineage: Eukaryota; Metazoa; Arthropoda; Insecta; Hymenoptera; Apidae
Description: SSU rRNA
Rfam family: Eukaryotic small subunit ribosomal RNA
Source: RNAcentral
CCAUGCAUGUCUCAGUACACGUCUAAAUUAAGACUAAACCGCGAAUGGCUCAUUAAAUCAGUUAUGGUUUAUUGGAUUGUACAAAAAUUUACUUGGAUAACUUUGGUAAUUCUAGAGCUAAUACAUGCAACUGAGUUCCGACCAGAGAUGGAAGGAACGCUUUUAUUAGAUCAAAACCAAUCGGUGGCGGGCGGUUUUCCGUUCGUUUAUCGUUUGCUAUGAUGACUCUGAAUAACCUUUUGAUGAUCGCACGGUCUUCUAGCACCGGCGACGAAUCUUUCAAAUGUCUGACUUAUCAACUGUCGAUGGUAGGUUCUGCGCCUACCAUUGUUGUAACGGGUAACGGGGAAUCAGGGUUCGAUUCCGGAGAGGGAGCCUGAGAAACGGCUACCACAUCCAAGGAAGGCAGCAGGCGCGCAAAUUACCCACUCCCGGCACGGGGAGGUAGUGACGAAAAAUAACGAUACGGGACUCAUCCGAGGCCCCGUAAUCGGAAUGAGAACACAUUAAAUCCUUUAACGAGGACCAAUUGGAGGGCAAGUCUGGUGCCAGCAGCCGCGGUAAUUCCAGCUCCAAUAGCGUAUAUUAAAGUUGUUGCGGUUAAAAAGCUCGUAGUUGAAUCUGUGUGUCACAGUGUCGGUUCACCGCUCGCGGUGUUUAACUGGCAUUAUGUGGUACGUCCUACCGGCGGGCUUAGCUCUACGGGGCGGUCCAACUAAUAUCCAUCGCGGUGCUCUUUACUGAGUGUCGAGGUGGGCCGGUACGUUUACUUUGAAGAAAUUAGAGUGUUCAAAGCAGGCUCGUUUGCCUGAAUACUGUGUGCAUGGAAUAAUGGAAUAGGACCUCGGUUCUAUUUUGUUGGUUUUCGGAACCCCGAGGUAAUGAUUAAUAGGGACAGAUGGGGGCAUUCGUAUUGCGACGUUAGAGGUGAAAUUCUUGGAUCGUCGCAAGACGUACAGAAGCGAAAGCAUUUGCCAAAAAUGUUUUCAUUAAUCAAGAACGAAAGUUAGAGGGUU